Molecule: ribosomal RNA, 453 nt
Filed under: uncultured Pelotomaculum sp.
Lineage: Bacteria; Bacillati; Bacillota; Clostridia; Eubacteriales; Desulfotomaculaceae
Description: bacterial SSU rRNA
Rfam family: Bacterial small subunit ribosomal RNA
Source: RNAcentral
AAGCAUGGAGUAUGUGGUUUAAUUCGAAGCAACGCGAAGAACCUUACCAGGGCUUGACAUCCCUUGAAGCAGCUAGAGAUAGCUGUGUCCUUCGGGACAAGGAGACAGGUGGUGCAUGGUUGUCGUCAGCUCGUGUCGUGAGAUGUUGGGUUAAGUCCCGCAACGAGCGCAACCCCUACGUUUAGUUGCUAACGCGUGAAGGCGAGCACUCUAGACGAACUGCCGUUGACAAAACGGAGGAAGGUGGGGAUGACGUCAAAUCAUCAUGCCCCUUAUGUUCUGGGCUACACACGUGCUACAAUGGCCGGUACAGACGGACGCAAAGCCGCGAGGUGGAGCUAAUCUCAUAAAGCCGGUCUCAGUUCGGAUUGGAGUCUGCAACUCGACUCCAUGAAGUUGGAAUCGCUAGUAAUCGCGGAUCAGCACGCCGCGGUGAAUACGUUCCCGGGCCUU